GACGAACGCUGGCGGCGUGCCUAAUACAUGCAAGUCGAGCGGACCAAUAGAAGCUUGCUUCUGUUGGUUAGCGGCGGACGGGUGAGUAACACGUGGGCAACCUGCCUGUAAGACUGGGAUAACUUCGGGAAACCGGAGCUAAUACCGGAUAAUUCAUCCCCUCGCAUGAGGGGAUGCUGAAAGUCGGUUUACGCUGACACUUACAGAUGGGCCCGCGGCGCAUUAGCUAGUUGGUGAGGUAAUGGCUCACCAAGGCGACGAGGCGUAGCCGACCUGAGAGGGUGAUCGGCCACACUGGGACUGAGACACGGCCCAGACUCCUACGGGAGGCAGCAGUAGGGAAUCUUCCACAAUGGACGAAAGUCUGAUGGAGCAACGCCGCGUGAGCGAUGAAGGCCUUCGGGUCGUAAAGCUCUGUUGUUAGGGAAGAACAAGUAUCGGAGUAACUGCCGGUACCUUGACGGUACCUAACCAGAAAGCCACGGCUAACUACGUGCCAGCCGCCGCGGUAA
RNAcentral lists this ribosomal RNA (512 nucleotides) under uncultured bacterium. RNAcentral's name for it is "partial 16S ribosomal RNA". It matches the Rfam family "Bacterial small subunit ribosomal RNA", at positions 28 to 523 of the family's 1533-position model. The record is from RNAcentral.